RNAcentral lists this ribosomal RNA (253 nucleotides) under uncultured bacterium. RNAcentral's name for it is "partial 16S ribosomal RNA". It matches the Rfam family "Bacterial small subunit ribosomal RNA", at positions 524 to 776 of the family's 1533-position model. The record is from RNAcentral.
UACAGAGACUGCAAGCGUUAUUCGGAUUCACUGGGCGUAAAGGGUGCGCAGGCGGCCAAGUGUGUGAGGCGUGAAAGCCUGGGGCUUAACCCCAGAAUUGCACCUCAAACUACUUGGCUAGAGCAUUGGAGAGGGUAGCAGAAUUCAUGGUGUAGCAGUGAAAUGCGUAGAUAUCAUGAGGAAUACCAGAGGCGAAGGCGGCUGCCUGGACAAUUGCUGACGCUCAGGCACGAAAGCGUGGGGAGCAAAAGGG